Molecule: ribosomal RNA, 466 nt
Filed under: uncultured bacterium
Lineage: Bacteria
Description: bacterial SSU rRNA
Rfam family: Bacterial small subunit ribosomal RNA
Source: RNAcentral
GACACGCUGGCGGCGCGCCUAACACAUGCAAGUCGAACGAGCGAGAGAGAGUUACUUUUUCGAGCGAGUGGCGAACGGGUGAGUAACGCGUGAGGAACCUGCCUCAAAGAGGGGGACAACAGUUGGAAACGACUGCUAAUACCGCAUAAGCCCACGACCCGGCAUCGGGGUAGAGGGAAAAGGAGCAAUCCGCUUUGAGAUGGCCUCGCGUCCGAUUAGCUAGUUGGUGAGGUUAAACGGCCCACCAAGGCGACGAUCGGUAGCCGGACUGAGAGGUUGAACGGCCACAUUGGGACUGAGACACGGCCCAGACUCCUACGGGAGGCAGCAGUGGGGAAUAUUGCACAAUGGGGGAAACCCUGAUGCAGCGACGCCGCGUGGAGGAAGAAGGUCUUCGGAUUGUAAACUCCUGUUGUUGAGGAAGAUAAUGACGGUACUCAACAAGGAAGUGACGGCUAACUACGUG